UCUCUCUCUCUCUCUCUCUCUCUCUUAUAUCUUUCUCUCUCACUUUCUUGUGUGUGUGUGUGUGUUUUUGUUUUUUUGUUUUUUUUUUUUUUGGGUCAAAGCUUUCAUUUCCCUCACCCUCCCUCCGAUCCAUCUCUCCCUCCCUCCGUCCGUUGGCAUCGGAUGAUUUUUUUUUUCAAACAGAAGUUGUCGGUUCGGGUGACGGUGUGCGGCAAAACCGAUCCGACCCGUGUACAGUGAUGCCUCCUCAAUCUUCAGGUUUAUUUGGAAGUAUUGGUGAUGGCACGAGUGAAGUCGGAAAAAAUUAAAAUAAAGAUUUAUCUAGUGGGGCACAUAUGCUCUUCAAUGCCAAAUUCAAACUGUGCACCACACAUGGAGUCCAGAAAAUAUGUGGAUACUUGUUUUCAAUGCUCAACCCAGCAGCUUUGUAAUUGGAUGCAUUAUCGAUGAUGCCAUGACAUUGAUGAGAGGACGUCAUUGCCUAGUUGACCACCCGUCGGAGAGCAAUGAAACCCCUUUCUUUUUCCAUGAAUCUCUGAUAGGUUGCAGCAGCCUAUUAACAUGCUCUUUUUCUUGGGAAAGCAAGUGGUACGUAGCCUAUCAUAUGGAGUGUAGCCUAUCAUAUGGAGUGUAACCUAUCAAGCUGUUGUUUGCUAAACUCUGAGAAUACUUUCGGAAGUAAGGUGACCUUGCCAGAUUGAAAGGUAAGCCACUUGCAUAGAACAUUCAUGCACAUUCGUUGUCAGCAAUAUCUCUCUGAGCAACAUUAAAUGACUUGUGCAAAGCACCUGGCAGAGCCAUUCCUUUGCGUUUUUUCUAUUGUAGGAAGUCUGAGCCUUCAGCUUCAACAUCAUCUCUUACGGAUUUCCAAGGUUCAACUCCAUGAUUUGGAAGCUUCACCGGAUGAGCUUUCACCUUUGUAUAUGACCCAGUUACUUUUUUGUUGCUAUAAUUACAAGACCAAGUUCUAUUUCCACCUCCACCUGAAGACACAUUGAAAACCUUCACAUGAUUCCACAAUGGCUUGUCAUCGAACUCUGCUCCAUGACAUGCUACUGGACGCAAGGUUUUCUUCUACUUGGCUGAAGAUUGGGAGGAAGACAUUGUCCCCCUAUAGAUGAAAUUAAUCUGUAAUGGAAGGAAGUUUUGAGAGAUUUUUUUUUUGGGCUAAAAGAUAUAACCAAAGUCUCUGUUAUAUGCAGAUAAAACUAGUGGAAGGUGGAAAGGUACUUUUGGGAGUUGUUUCUAAGAAUGAUUAGAGGUUUGUGGCUGGCAAAUAAGGCUUCCCAAGGAAGGAAAGCAAUGAAGUCAUUUUGUUGAUGGAACAAACAUGUAGAUACAAUGAUUUUAUUUUAUUUUUUUAUAUUUGCAAGGCACAUUUAAUGUUAAUGUCAGUCACUGCUAAUGACAACUAAAGAAAUGAGUUUUUUAUAUUUGAAGUACUGUAUCAAAGAAAUGGCAACCAA
This is a non-coding RNA of Camellia sinensis, 1466 nucleotides long. NCBI's taxonomy places the organism in Eukaryota, Viridiplantae, Streptophyta, Magnoliopsida, Ericales, Theaceae. The record is from RefSeq and is a predicted model, not a curated record.